This 132-nucleotide small nucleolar RNA is filed under the name Macaca nemestrina (pig-tailed macaque). RNAcentral's name for it is "Small nucleolar RNA SNORA70 (ENSMNEG00000026021.1)". It matches the Rfam family "Small nucleolar RNA SNORA70". Rfam says of the family: snoRNA U70 seems to be exclusive to mammals and is a member of the H/ACA class of snoRNA which contain H (ANANNA) and ACA box motifs. H/ACA box snoRNAs are involved in the conversion of uridines to pseudouridines (5-ribosyluracil) a constituent of structural RNAs (transfer, ribosomal, small nuclear, and small nucleolar). Lineage: Eukaryota; Metazoa; Chordata; Mammalia; Primates; Cercopithecidae. The record is from Rfam by way of RNAcentral.
CAGGAGACAAUAUAGUGUUUAAGAGCCCAGGCCUUGGGGGCCCAGUGUGCAAUGGCUGCAAACAGCAGCUUCCCUGGUAGUGAUGCAGCCUGUUUGUUGUAUGGGUUGCUCUAAAGGAUCUUGGAGACAGUC